UACGUAGGCAGCGAGCGUUGUUCGGAGUUACUGGGCGUAAAGCGUGCGUAGGCGGUGUCUUAAGUUUGUUGUGAAAUCUCCCGGCUUAACCGGGAGGGUGCGGCGAAUACUGAGAUGCUGGAGUGCCGGAGAGGUAAGCGGAAUUCCUGGUGUAGCGGUGAAAUGCGUAGAGAUCUGGAGGAAUACCGGUGGCGAAGGCGGCCCCCUGGACAAAGACUGACGCCCAGGUGCGAAAGCGUGGGGAGCAAACAGG
This 253-nucleotide ribosomal RNA is filed under the name uncultured bacterium. Its description in RNAcentral is "partial 16S ribosomal RNA". It matches the Rfam family "Bacterial small subunit ribosomal RNA", at positions 524 to 776 of the family's 1533-position model. The record is from RNAcentral.